AAUAUUGGGCAAUGGGCGCAAGCCUGACCCAGCAACGCCGCGUGAAGGAAGAAGGCUUUCGGGUUGUAAACUUCUUUUGUCGGGGACGAAACAAAUGACGGUACCCGACGAAUAAGCCACGGCUAACUACGUGCCAGCAGCCGCGGUAAUACGUAGGUGGCAAGCGUUAUCCGGAUUUACUGGGUGUAAAGGGCGUGUAGGCGGGAUUGCAAGUCAGAUGUGAAAACUGGGGGCUCAACCUCCAGCCUGCAUUUGAAACUGUAGUUCUUGAGUGCUGGAGAGGCAAUCGGAAUUCCGUGUGUAGCGGUGAAAUGCGUAGAUAUACGGAGGAACACCAGUGGCGAAGGCGGAUUGCUGGACAGUAACUGACGCUGAGGCGCGAAAGCGUGGGGAGCAAACAG
This 401-nucleotide ribosomal RNA is filed under the name uncultured bacterium. Its description in RNAcentral is "bacterial SSU rRNA". It matches the Rfam family "Bacterial small subunit ribosomal RNA", at positions 360 to 775 of the family's 1533-position model. The record is from RNAcentral.